GAACCAGUAGGCAGCUCUGGGAGUGCUGGAUCAGGAGGCACUCUCCAAUUAGGCAGGCAGCCUCCACGUCUCGCCAGGAGGCCUUGGUUAUCUCUAAAUAGAGACUGAGCUAUAGCAGCUGCUGUCCUGUUUGCUGGGCGAGUGUCUAGGAUAUGUGAACCCCUUGAGCUCAUGCCAAGACUUUCAAGGGGUCCUGGGGAUUCCAAUUUAAGGGACUCACCUGCCAUUCUAGAUCCUUCGUUUUGAAAUUAACCAUCUUCUAAAUUGACCUCACAGUGAACUCUCUUGUGCUACAGGCAUCUCCUUCCAUGCAGCCCUUAUCCCUCUACACGGAGAUUUGGAGUGGGUGCCAAGUUACCCUUCUUCAGUCAAGAGGAAGAGGAGUAUUUCUGAAGCCCCAAACAGAGGGUCUUGAUGUGUAAUUCACCCAAUCCACAGUGUUGUGGAUGCCUCAGCCCAGCUGGGGAACAUGGAAGUGAAGCAUCAAGAUAAGGCGAGACCUGUAACACCUGUACCACCGGAAGAAAAAAAGCAAAUGGACUCCAGCCGAGCAGGGGCAACCCUAUGGGAGCCUAUGGGAGCCAAAGGCCAGAACAAUCGCAGCCCUUUUUCGUCACUGUUGACUUUAGACUGCAGAGUUCUUUCAGGGAAGUGUGCUUCGCUGCUGCCAUUGGUCAGAUUUGCCGGCACAUGGUGACAGUAAAAGGCGGGACCCCGUGUCACCUGUCCCCUGUUGGGAACACCAAGUGUAGAAGCUUCAAGUCUGGUGCCUGCUCUGCCUCACUCCAGCCGUGAGGAUGAGGCCUGACUGGGUCUACUUACUACCAAAACUUCCUGCACAACCAGCUGUGGUGACCCACAGCUCUAGUCUCAGCACUUGGGAGACUGAGGCAUGAGGAUUGCAGCUCUGAAGCCAGCCUGGGCUACACAGAAGACCCAGCCGCGUCCCUCCCCCUGAAGAAAACUUCCUGCCCAGAAGAUGAUUCCAGUCCAUCUGCCCCCUCUCGACCUUUGCUUCUCCUCCUUUCCACCCAGAGGUCGAGGUUCUCCUCCCACAGACCCGCCCUCCGCCACUGCUGGCCCCACUCCUGGCCACUCCUGGCAGCUCCCUCUUGUCCUGUGUUGUGCUGUGAAGCAGCCUAGUUGACUCCCUCCCAACCUGGCUGGCCGCCCUUUUCCCUGACCUCUCUCUCUCUCUCUCUCUCUCUCUCUCUCUCUCUCUCUCUCUCUCUCUUCUCUCUCUCUCUCCCACUCCACCCCCUGUUUCUUUCCCUUUCUUCUCAGCUCCAUGGAAAUUUUCAUAUCAUCCUCAAGUUUGUCUGCCAAACCAGAAUCCUGAAUCCUCAUCCAGGGGGAGUCAUUACAAGGUCUGAAAAACUACAAAGUCACCACACAGUGCCUGGAACAAAUGGGUUGCUUGCCACCUGCAGGACAUUUACUGAGUGCUUCCUGUACACCAAGCACUGCUUGGUCCUUGGUACUCCCCUCCCCACUUCCACUGGGGUGGGGUCCAUGGGGACACAAACCCGUCCCUUUCUAGAGGUUUUGUUCUAGGUGACUAAGAGGUAGAGGGAUGGCUGGGAUAGACUGGCAGGUGCCCUUGGCUCCUUCCCCAGCAGAUUGCCAGACCAGCUACUCAAAGGAGCCCGCCACCAUAGUAGAGAAGACCAACAGUUAAACAGGCAGCCAGAGGGCCAGUUUUACAAUCGAAUAGUUAAUGAAAUCUGUAUGUGUCUGUUGAGCUUAUUAAUGCAUACUCAUUUUUUGAGCAUCUACCAUGUGCAAGUCACAGAUACAUCCCUAAGUACAAACUGCCACCUUUCCCUCUUAUGUAUCCUGUGCCUACACUCCAGAAAUAUGUGCUGUCUCAUAUACGCUAUUAUGGUUUGUGUUUAAACAUCCACCAAAACCUCAUGCAGUCAUGGGGAGCAGGCCUUUCCAUGACUGAGUGUAGCAUUUGUGAUUGGUUCCUUGCCUAGCCCUGGGAUUGGCGGGGUGAGUCCUGCGCCCACCCAGAGGCAAGCAAUCAACGUACAAUAAGAGGGAAAAGGAGGCCUGCUUUUCCUCUGUUUUGCCCUUUUCAUUCUUGUUGCUUGUGGACGCCAUGAACGACUGCCCCUUAGUCACGUCACCCUGCCUUGGAGCCAGCUGGGUAUGGACUGAGACCUCUAAAAACUGUAAGCUAAGUAAA
This is a long non-coding RNA of Cavia porcellus (domestic guinea pig), 2191 nucleotides long. RefSeq lists it as uncharacterized. The record is from RefSeq and is a predicted model, not a curated record. Lineage: Eukaryota; Metazoa; Chordata; Mammalia; Rodentia; Caviidae. The transcript has 4 exons.